RNAcentral lists this ribosomal RNA (451 nucleotides) under uncultured bacterium. Its description in RNAcentral is "partial 16S ribosomal RNA". It matches the Rfam family "Bacterial small subunit ribosomal RNA", at positions 354 to 796 of the family's 1533-position model. The record is from RNAcentral.
GUGGGGAAUAUUGGACAAUGGGGGGAACCCUGAUCCAGCCAUGCCGCGUGUGUGAAGAAGGCCUUUUGGUUGUAAAGCACUUUAAGCGAGGAGGAGGCUACCGAGAUUAAUACUCUUGGAUAGUGGACGUUACUCGCAGAAUAAGCACCGGCUAACUCUGUGCCAGCAGCCGCGGUAAUACCGAGGGUGCACGCGUUAAUCGGCUUUACUGGGCGUAAAGCGCGCGUAGGUGGCCAAUUAAGUCAAAUGUGAAAUCCCCGAGCUUAACUUGGGAAGUGCAUUCGAUACUGGGUGGGUAGAGUAUGGGAGAUGAUGGUAGAAUGCCAGGAGUAGCGGUGAAAUGCGGAGAGAUCUGGAGGAAUACCGAUGGCGAAGGGAGCCAUCUGGCCUAAUACUGACACUGAGGGGCGAAAGCAUGGGGGGCAAACAGGAUUAGAUACCCGUGUAGUCC